This 529-nucleotide ribosomal RNA is filed under the name uncultured bacterium. RNAcentral describes it as "partial 16S ribosomal RNA". It matches the Rfam family "Bacterial small subunit ribosomal RNA", at positions 355 to 900 of the family's 1533-position model. The record is from RNAcentral.
UGGGGAAUAUUGCACAAUGGGCGAAAGCCUGAUGCAGCAACGCCGCGUGAGUGAUGAAGGUCUUCGGAUUGUAAAGCUCUGUCUUUUGGGACGAUAAUGACGGUACCAAAGGAGGAAGCCACGGCUAACUACGUGCCAGCAGCCGCGGUAAUACGUAGGUGGCGAGCGUUGUCCGGAUUUACUGGGCGUAAAGGGUGCGUAGGCGGAUGUUUAAGUGAGAUGUGAAAUACCCGGGCUUAACUUGGGUGCUGCAUUUCAAACUGGAUAUCUAGAGUGCAGGAGAGGAGAAUGGAAUUCCUAGUGUAGCGGUGAAAUGCGUAGAGAUUAGGAAGAACACCAGUGGCGAAGGCGAUUCUCUGGACUGUAACUGACGCUGAGGCACGAAAGCGUGGGUAGCAAACAGGAUUAGAUACCCUGGUAGUCCACGCCGUAAACGAUGAGUACUAGGUGUAGGAGGUGUCGACCCCUUCUGUGCCGCAGUAAACACAUUAAGUACUCCGCCUGGGAAGUACGAUCGCAAGAUUAAAAC